Pelobates cultripes (western spadefoot toad) is the source of this 423-nucleotide non-coding RNA. The record is from the annotation of a GenBank genome assembly. NCBI's taxonomy places the organism in Eukaryota, Metazoa, Chordata, Amphibia, Anura, Pelobatidae.
GUUUAAAGUUAUGAUGGAGUUGGGGGCUAUAAUGAAGGCAACAAGAUUGUCAUAAGGAAUUGAGGUUUGAUACAUUUGGGGGUCUGUGACGAAGUUGGAGGCUGUAGUGAAAGGAUUGAGGCUGUGAUGUAGUUGGAGGCUGUAAUGGAAGGAUUGAGGCUGUGAUGUAGUUGGAGGCUGUAAUGAAAGGAGUGAGGCUGUGAUGGAGUUGGAGGCUGUAAUGAAAUGAUUGAGGCUGUGAUGUAGUUGGAGGCUGUAAUGAAAUGAUUGAGGCUGUGAUGUAGUUGGAGGCUGUAAUGAAAGGAUUGAGGCUGUGAUGUAGUUGGAGGCUGUAAUGAAAGGAUUGAGGCUGUGAUGUAGUUGGAGGCUGUAAUGAAAGGAGUGAGGCUGUGAUGUAGUUGGAGGCUGUAAUGAAAUGAUUGA